GUAACGAAGAGUAGAUGGAUGGACAGAGGUGCUCCCACUCCACUACAUAGCGCUGCGUCAGAUGGCCCCUCCUCCAGAUGAAAACCAGCGUGUCCACUGGUGAGACGAACUGUUCCGUGAGCCGGGGCCAGGAAAAGGCAGCAAACAAAAUGAACAGUCAGCCGAGUAGCGUUUGCUGGAGAUUUACGUGGAAACCUGCUCACAGAUGCAGGGCUGCUGGAUUUAUAACAAGGGUAAAAGAGGAAAAUGCCUUUGUGUUUACACAUGAGCCAGAGGGAAAGGGGAGCAGUGCAUCUUAAGGAGUAUUCCACAGAUGAACAAAUAUACAGAAAACACAUGAGUCUUUUGCAUGGGGAAGGGAGCCUGCUCUCCAACUGCCGAUAACCGAAGUUCAUUAGUCAAGGUGGGGUGCUAACCCCUCUUACCGAUGGUGUGAACUUGGAUCAGCCAUGUCACCUCUCUGAGCCUCAGUUUCCCCAUUUGUUAAGGUGGGAUAACAAUAUUUUUCCUGUGAAGUUAUUUGGAGUACAUGAAAGGAAAUCAUGAGUGCAAAAGAGCUGUGGGCACUCAAUACAUGGCUCUCUCUCUCGAAAUCUAUUUUAUGUAAAAAAAAGUUAUAUUAAUUAUAUUGUUAUAUUAAUUAAUGUAUAUUAAUUAAUUACAGUAUUUAUUCAACUUUUAAUUUUUUGAAUUUUAAAAAUAUUUUAUUUUAAACACCAAUAAGUGCCCCAAUAAGAAGGAUCCAGAGAUACUUCACAAAGAUUCUCUAACACCGACUGAAAAUGGAAAUAUUUCCCACUCUUGUUACAUUCAAGUGCCAUGGAUUGACACAGCUUUGCAGGUUUCAGCCUCCUUCCACUUGCUCCUGCUGAUCCUCCAUCUGGAAGGCUGCCCUUCUCACACCCCACACCAUCAACUUGUGUCUCUAGUUUCUGUGUUUACCUUUCCCUAGAAUCAUGUUCACAUACCAUUCAAGGCCUCACUCACCGAGAUGCUCUGUUCUGCCCACAGGCUCCCUGUUGGGCUAUGCCCUCCAUGCAGGUAGCACCUGAGAUGUAAGACCAGCAAACAUGCUUUAGUUCCAGACAUGCUCUCUCAUUGAAUCGUCACAUCCACCCUCCAGGGCACUGUUACCAACACUUUAUGGAUGAAGAAAUUGAAGCAUCAGAGAUGUCAGCGUUUUUACCAAAGGUCUCAAAGGUCCAAGUAGCAGAGCCAGAAUCCGACCCUGGUCUGACUCAGGGGUCUUCGUUUUUCUCUGCGCUAGUUGUGUUGGUGUUACUAGCUCUGGGUAGACCCC
This 1300-nucleotide long non-coding RNA is filed under the name Vulpes vulpes (red fox). RNAcentral's name for it is "lncRNA (ENSVVUG00000016913.1)". The record is from RNAcentral. Lineage: Eukaryota; Metazoa; Chordata; Mammalia; Carnivora; Canidae.